GGAGUCCCCCCGGAAGCGCAGGGCACGAAGGAGAGCAGUUUCUAGGAAGCGCCCCUCUGAGAGCUCAGCUUGGAAGAUCAUCUGUAGCCAUCAGAAAGAAGGAAAGAGAUGGUGUAGGAAAAGAUAACCCAUGCUUGAAGAACACCAUCUGAAUGGCAAGAUGGGAAAAACAAGGCACAGAAAAGUAAGAAACCUUCCAAGACAGUGGUGGAGUCACGUGAGAUUCCAGACUCAAUGGUUUCCUUCCAGAGCCCAUGCUGUUAACCACUGGGCUAGACUGCCUUCCAUACGUCCCCGUCUAGUGAAGCCUGUGUCCCCACUCCGUGCACCUCAAGGGCGGCAAAGCUAUCUUGGUGUGUCGGCCAUCUUGGUAACUUCAGCACCUCACAUUCCCCACAUUCCAACUUGUCCACAACGAGUCCUUAAAAAUCACUAGACAACCGGAGCUUGGAUUGGAUCCCGGAA
Zalophus californianus (California sea lion) is the source of this 465-nucleotide long non-coding RNA. RefSeq lists it as uncharacterized. The record is from RefSeq and is a predicted model, not a curated record. The transcript has 4 exons. Lineage: Eukaryota; Metazoa; Chordata; Mammalia; Carnivora; Otariidae.